GUGGGGAAUAUUGGACAAUGGGCGAAAGCCUGAUCCAGCCAUGCCGCGUGUGUGAAGAAGGUCUUCGGAUUGUAAAGCACUUUAAGUUGGGAGGAAGGGCAGUAAGUUAAUACCUUGCUGUUUUGACGUUACCGACAGAAUAAGCACCGGCUAACUUCGUGCCAGCAGCCGCGGUAAUACGAAGGGUGCAAGCGUUAAUCGGAAUUACUGGGCGUAAAGCGCGCGUGGGUGGUUUUGUAAGUUGGAGGUGAAAUCCCCGGGCUCAACCUGGGAACUGCCUCCAAAACUGCAUGACUAGAGUACGGUAGAGGGUAGUGGAAUUUCCUGUGUAGCGGUGAAAUGCGUAGAUAUAGGAAGGAACACCAGUGGCGAAGGCGACUACCUGGACUGAUACUGACACUGAGGUGCGAAAGCGUGGGGAGCAAACAGGAUUAGAAACCCUUUAGUCC
Molecule: ribosomal RNA, 449 nt
Filed under: uncultured bacterium
Lineage: Bacteria
Description: partial 16S ribosomal RNA
Rfam family: Bacterial small subunit ribosomal RNA
Source: RNAcentral